Non-coding RNA from Opisthorchis viverrini, 194 nucleotides. The record is from Rfam. Lineage: Eukaryota; Metazoa; Platyhelminthes; Trematoda; Opisthorchiida; Opisthorchiidae.
AUCGCUUCUCGGCUCUCUGAGCUAAGAUCAUGUGUAGUAUCUGUUCUUUGCAGUGUAAUUUCUGCAACGGUCUCUAAAUUGAGACCAAUGAAAUUACCUGUAUUUUUCUCGCUCGGACGGGUGCUGUGAGCUUGCUCAACCCCGUCCACGGGUCGGCCUCGUAUUGCAUUACCUCGAGGAUUGGCCCACCAAGG